AAAACUUUCAACAACGGAUCUCUUGGUUCUGGCAUCGAUGAAGAACGCAGCGAAAUGCGAUAAGUAAUGCGAAUUGCAGAAUUCCGUGAGUCAUCGAAUUUUUGAACGCACAUUGCGCCCUUUGGUAUUCCGAAGGGCAUGCCUGUUCGAGCGUCAUUA
Molecule: ribosomal RNA, 159 nt
Filed under: Verrucaria elaeomelaena
Lineage: Eukaryota; Fungi; Ascomycota; Eurotiomycetes; Verrucariales; Verrucariaceae
Description: 5.8S ribosomal RNA
Rfam family: 5.8S ribosomal RNA
About the family: 5.8S ribosomal RNA (5.8S rRNA) is a component of the large subunit of the eukaryotic ribosome. It is transcribed by RNA polymerase I as part of the 45S precursor that also contains 18S and 28S rRNA.
Source: RNAcentral